This 381-nucleotide ribosomal RNA is filed under the name Triticum aestivum (bread wheat). Its description in RNAcentral is "partial small subunit ribosomal RNA". Lineage: Eukaryota; Viridiplantae; Streptophyta; Magnoliopsida; Poales; Poaceae. The record is from RNAcentral.
AUGAGGUUGUUCAAUGGUAAACAACAUGCUAUGGAUUCUAUUUAUGGUAACUGGCAGGAAAGUUUUCAAUUGUUGUAUUCAUUCAAAGGUGAAGUGGAGAGGACAAGCCCAGGUAGUAUUGUAGAUAUUGAUCACCACAGCGUGGAGUACACAUUCAAGGGAGUGACAAAGACCAAGGAAUCAUUUAGGAGGGUUUUUGUCUGUUUCGAGGCUUGUCGUCGGGGUUUUUUGGCUGGCUGCAGGCCUUAUUUGGCUAUUGAUGCCACUUUUCUCACAGGGAGGUUUAAAGGACAGUUAGUAGCAGCUUCUGCAGUUGAUGCACACAGUUUUGUAUUUCCAGUUGCCUAUGGUGUGCUGGAGACAGAGUCUGAGGAGAGCUAG